RNAcentral lists this ribosomal RNA (923 nucleotides) under uncultured crenarchaeote. RNAcentral's name for it is "bacterial SSU rRNA". It matches the Rfam family "Archaeal small subunit ribosomal RNA", at positions 369 to 1293 of the family's 1478-position model. The record is from RNAcentral. Lineage: Archaea; Thermoproteati; Thermoproteota.
GACAGGGUUACUCUGAGUGAUUUCCGUUAAGGAGAUCUUUUGGCACCUCUAAAAAUGGUGCAGAAUAAGGGGUGGGCAAGUCUGGUGUCAGCCGCCGCGGUAAUACCAGCACCCCGAGUGGUCGGGACGUUUAUUGGGCUUAAAGCAUCCGUAGCCGGUUCUACAAGUCUUCCGUUAAAUCCACCUGCUUAACAGAUGGGCUGCGGAAGAUACUAUAGAGCUAGGAGGCGGGAGAGGCAAGCGGUACUCGAUGGGUAGGGGUAAAAUCCGUUGAUCCAUUGAAGACCACCAGUGGCGAAGGCGGCUUGCCAGAACGCGCUCGACGGUGAGGGAUGAAAGCUGGGGGAGCAAACCGGAUUAGAUACCCGGGUAGUCCCAGCUGUAAACGAUGCAGACUCGGUGAUGAGUUGGCUUAUUGCUAACUCAGUGCCGCAGGGAAGCCGUUAAGUUUGCCGCCUGGGGAGUACGGUCGCAAGACUGAAACUUAAAGGAAUUGGCGGGGGAGCACCACAAGGGGUGAAGCCUGCGGUUCAAUUGGAGUCAACGCCGGAAAUCUUACCGGGGGCGACAGCAGAGUGAAGGUCAAGCUGAAGACUUUACCAGACAAGCUGAGAGGAGGUGCAUGGCCGUCGCCAGCUCGUGCCGUGAGGUGUCCUGUUAAGUCAGGUAACGAGCGAGAUCCCUGCCUCUAGUUGCUACCAUUAUUCUCAGGAGUAGUGGAGCUAAUUAGAGGGACCGCCGUCGCUGAGACGGAGGAAGGUGGGGGCUACGGCAGGUCAGUAUGCCCCGAAACCCUCGGGCCACACGCGGGCUGCAAUGGUAAGGACAAUGAGUUUCGAUUCCGAAAGGAGGAGGCAAUCUCUAAACCUUACCACAGUUAUGAUUGAGGGCUGAAACUCGCCCUCAUGAAUAUGGAAUCCCUA